This is a long non-coding RNA of Mirounga angustirostris (Northern elephant seal), 1584 nucleotides long. RefSeq lists it as uncharacterized. Lineage: Eukaryota; Metazoa; Chordata; Mammalia; Carnivora; Phocidae. The transcript has 6 exons. The record is from RefSeq and is a predicted model, not a curated record.
AUGCAAGGGGAGAUCUGCAAAAUAAAGUCAAUAUUGCUUGUUACUUGGUGGCUCACGUGUCAUCUUACACAUUUACUUUUAAGCUCAAAAGAACUUUGGAUCCAUUUUCCCCAAGCUGAAGCAUGAAGAAGAGAUGACCAUGCAUUCACGGCAUAGACUGAGUGCCUACUGCACCUGAGACACAGCUGGUGACAAGACGAGGAAUCUGCCUUCGCAGAGCUCACGCUCCAUCCCACGUUCUGCUACUUAAAAACUCUUGCAAAUAAAAAUUCACAAUAUCCAUCCGGAAAAAUCCUGGAAAUACCUCAUUUUAUACUGAAUUUUAGAAAGGAUAAGGACAUCAAGGCACAAGAAAUGAACAAACUCAAGGCACGUGGCUAAUGAGUGGUGGAUGUUGGCAUUCACACCCAGACAGCCUGACCCAGCUUAACUACUGAACCAGGUCCUAAGACAUGAGGCAAAAAUUGUUCUGCCCCGGAUGGAAAGAGCUUUGCAGGACUGUUGCCAGCAACAGCCAGGGUCUGUCUGCAUGCCAAGCUCAGAGAAGUACCUAGAAGAGAUCUGGACCAAAACUCACGAACCACAGGUUCAGACUGCAGUGGGGCUGAUAGAGACAAUCUGUUUCAGCUCAGUGCAGCAUGCAUUUAUUGAGCACCUAUUGUGUGCAAGGUCUUGCUCUGGCUCUACCCCCAGUUUGGAGAAAUGAAGACUAUUUUUACAGAUGAACACACGGAGACUGCAUGUAGCUUGUGCUCUGUCCAGUGUGGGGAGAAGUUUAUCAUUGCUUGCCAUAUUGGAAUCAAGAGAGGAUAUAUGGCGGUACUCCCUCCUGGGAGUUGGAAGGUUUUGCAGAGAAACUUGAGGAUGAACUGCACAACACUGCCAUCUGCCUCCUCUGAGUGGGGAAGCUCCAACAUGCCCUCUGGCUUGACUUGGGACAGAGGAGAAGCCUUCCCGGAUAAGGAAUUUGGAAGUGCAGAGAAGUUAUGUAACUGUCCCAGUCAAGGCCACUGAGGAGUUGAGCUCUGCCGCUGAAGCAGGUUCAUGAUCUUGGGGAAGUUAAUUUACUUCUGGGGAAGGUCAUACUACAUGAUCUUCGUGGUUCCUCACUGCUCUGAAGAUUUUUUUGCAUGUGGCUCCUUGGAAGGGACUCGGAAUGGUGAAGAAACUUUCUUUCACAGUGACUUCAAAUAUCUUUGGGAAUUUGUGCUCUUUAAUCCGUGCUUGAGAAGAAAAGACAAAGCCUGUGGAAUGGUUUGGGUGUGGUGUCUGCUGAAUUUAUAAAGAACAAGAGAUGCAGUGAUACUAGAAUGUGAGCAUGUGAGUGAUUACUGAUCUGUGAAUGCAGUGGUCCUCACACUUGUUCCAGUCAUAAAGGACAUGCAGGCCACGAGGCUCCUUGACAGGAAGAGGACUUUAUCCCAUCAUGAGAACGAUUUCCCCAGCGGCAAGUAUAAUCAUAUCAUACUUAACGUGACAAAGUCACGAUCUGUGAAGCGAAACCUAAAUAGCUAAGUUCUUAAAUUUCUUUGAAAACUUUGAUGGCUACUUAUUAAUUCACAUCUUCCUCAACAGCAUUUGCUA